UUUACACCACAUAACCCUCUUUUGAACACCAGUACAAGCUGCAUAAAUAUUUACAAUUACACAUUUCUUCUGGGGUUCUCCCCACCACCCAAUCAACCUAGUGAAACUAGGACUUUCCACACAAUCCUCCAAAACAAACAAAUUUUUCUUCCACACACAAAGCAACCCUCCUCCUCUAUUAACAGCUUGAACGACUCGCCACUCAAAAUCUGAAUCACCCCACACCUGACUACAAACUCGACGAUCAAUAUUCUGAUUUUUUGUUUCUUGAAGACAAAGCAUCUCAAUCUGAUUUUGACCCACCAACUCCCUAAUAACCCUUCUUUUUGCCGAACCUCCCAACCCCCUUACAUUAAAUGAAAGAAUCUUCAUUGAUUACCAUUCACCCCAACAUCAGCACCAGAGAUUUGAAGGGGUCGAGUCCCUAGUGCAUCCCGUUGCUCCAGGCCAACUAACAUACUGAUAACUUCCUCCUCAUUCCCAUCACUCCCCACCCACACAGCUCUAUGAAAAGCACGCAAUGCAGAAUCCGGAAUAGAAGAACAAAGAGACAGAUUUCGAAGACGCACGGCGUGACGUAACUCUGAAGCACUUGGCUGCCUGGACUCUUCACUCGCCGAAACGGAUGCUGCUGCAGAAUUCACCUUCCUCAUGAGAACUGCAAACCGGUUACUAGACACAGAAGCAGCAACGCCACCUUCAUGAGAGCUUCUAGGGACAUCAACGGAAGAAGAAACACCAUGGUCACCAAUUGAGAGAGUAGGGUUUAUUCUGUCACAUGCCCACACCAAAACCUCAUUCUCCGUUUCACUGCCGGAGCUCUUUGCUUUCUGCUGUUCUUCAUCACAUUCAGGCUGUAAUUUUUAAAAUGAAUAAAAGUCGUAAAGUUAACUCUAACAUCAACAAUAAAUUAAAGACCACAUUCAGUGAAAUUAUGCCAGCUAAACUUUGAAGGGGUCAAUAUGAAUUCCUAGGAGAACCUUAGUCUUCUGGGUGAAAUAUCAGCAUUCAUUUAUAGUCACUUAGGAUAGUUGGUCUAUUUAUGAAGAUAUAGAUUAGAGGUUGAUUGUGAAUUUAACUAAUACAAUUUGCAGUUCAUAUAAAACUGAGGGAUCAAAACAAAGUACUUAUACUAAAACCCAAAAGCAGAGGUAGGCCAAACUCAUUGAAAUUGCAACCACAGUGCAAUAGGCCACAACUAGUUCUACAAAAAGACCUGAUCCUUAUGGUGUACGUAUACACAUCAAAACCCACCCCCUUUGUCCUUCAUCCUCAUGUAAAGUGUAAACCUUGUGAGCAAAAUCACUUUGUAGAGGUAGUUUUAUUUUGAAAAUCACUUUUCUAGGGUUUUUAGAAGUAGCUUUAUUUUUUUUUUGUACAGAACCUUAUGGAAAUCGAUUACCAUUAUUUUGUGGGUGUUAGCACACAUUUUCAGCCAUUCCAGUAACUAUUGGAAAUCGGUUUCCUCUUCUGGAAAUCGGUUACUGGUCCAAACGUGUUUUUCUCCUCUCAACAGGUCAACAACGUGUUGUGUUUGUUAGCCUUGGACAGAAAAUAAGGGGAAUCCAUUACCCUGGUAGGUAUGGAAACCGAUUUCCCUGACACGUUAUAUAAAGCCCUGCGUUUUCAAGGUAAUUUUCUUCUUCACAUCUUCUAUUGUGGCUUGGUUAAGGGUUUCAUAUACUUGGGGAAUUUCAUGGUAAUCAAGUGUAGGGUACAUAUUAGCUAUAGUAUCAGUUAAUGUUAGGUGUGAAAGGUUUUUAUGUUGCUUCUGAUUGUCCGCCGCCGGAGCAAUUAUAUGUUUCAUUCAAUCUUGUGUUUUUGUGUGUAGCUCUACAUGUAAAUUCAAUGCUUCAAAAGCUUUAAUGUUGCAGUAAUGCAAAGAUUGGGGUUUCUAUUGAAGCCAAAUGUCAGGUUUUUCUUCUCUUUUUCAGCAUUGAUGUUUCUUUGGCAACACUAGUCACUCUUAUCUCAUUCCUGAAAGCUCAGUGAUACUUCUAGUGUUUUCCUUUUAUGUACUUAUCUUGUAGAGUGCACUUUUCCACCUCUAAGGUUAAUCUGACUAUUGAAUUCUGCACUAAUAUCAACAAUGAUACAGUUGAAGAAUAGAGCAAUUACUAUAUCAACAAUUUUGUUUUUGCGGUGGCUUGUUGAGUACUUAUCUUGUAGAUGCUUUCCUGCCUUUUAUUUUUUUUAUCAGCAGCUACAGGAUGACAUUAGUAUACUAAAACACUUGACUCAAAAUCAGCUACUGCAUCAUGUUGUCCUUCUUCAUCCUCCUCACUUGACUUAAAUUAGUACCUAUAGUAUAUCAGUUUUUUGGUUGCUUCAUCCGUAUUCCUUUCAUUCCCGUCCAGGUGCCUUUUGAAGAAGUUCAUGCCAGAGUCAGCUCAAGCCUCAAGGGAUAUCUGACAAAAGAGUCCAUACAAAAGAUGUGCAUCGUCUUGAUGUCAAAACAUUGGGUACCAGUUUUGUUAAAUUCACUGAUUUUGCGGUUAUGGUAUGUUGUCCACUCCUAUCUGUUUCAACUUAAAUGUUUAGGCCACCCAGUGCUAGCUCAACUGAACAGCCUACAUGUCCUGUCUGCCUCGUUGCAGAGUGCACUAGUUGGUUCAUACAAAGGUAGAUGCCAUUAUUUAAUACACCCGACACCAUUUUAGAAAAUGAAUUGCACUAGAAAAAUCUGAUCAAUCUGCAAGACAAGAAGAAAUCCCAUCACAAAAAGUUACUGGUUUCCAGGUUAUAAUUGAUUCACAGGUUAUACAUUUGCACACGUUGAGGAGGCCAUUAACGUGAGGAGACCAAGAGGUAGACCACGGAAGCAUAAUUCGUGCGUGCGGGAAGUAACACCCAAACGUCAGCAUGGGAGGCCAAGGAAAAAUGCAGUUUGCCCAGAGAUGAGGAGGCUGAGGUCAGAAGGUAAACAAAGGUCUUUGGUACAUGCUGAUAUACAUUCAGAGGAGGGAGUAAAGACUCAAGCUAGAAGAGCAUUGAUUCGGUGUCAAAAUGCGGGUUUAAUUUUUGACUGUGAGGAAGAGGUUUUUGUGCAGAGUUUGAUUCAUCAAAUUCAACUGGGGAAGCAGCAGUAGGGGAUGACAGGGGUGGGAGUGACAUGGAUUGUCUGGGGUUUGGGGCGUGCUGAGAAAACAAAAGCUGUGAUGGUGGCUAUUAAUCAGGUACACCCGGAAGUUAUUUUGUUACAAGAGACAAAGUUGAAGGAAGAUCAAGAGAAGUUAUUGGGUGGUUGCUUUCGGGCUGCAAGGUUGGAAUUACGUAGUGUUCCAGCUAUUCAUGCAGCGGGAGGACUGAUGACUUUGUGGCGGAAGGAUAUCUGAAUUUGAUUAAUUUGCUGAGGGCGGAGGGGCAUUGUGUCAGUAUUGUGCAUGUUUUUCGGGAGGCUAAUGAACAAGCUGAUGAUUUAGCAAAGUCUGCGUGUGACAGAACUGAUCCUCUUUGGGUGGUGGCCUGAAAAUUGAAGGUGGUGUUGGUGUGGUUAAGGUGCUGUGUCGGGGAUUAGGUGUGACUUGCUGGGAUUGGGGAGGGUGGUGCGUGUUGAUGAUGGAGUGAAGGGUGUUUUUGUGACUAAUCUGUUGUGGGUUUUGCAGGUCUAAGUUAUAUAAGCUUGAAUGACCAUCUAGGCUACUCGUGAAGUUUUAUUGUUUGUUGAGUUGAGGAGUAUGGAUAGGUAUUUUGUCAUGCAAAAGUUGCUUGCUGUGCGUGGACUAUAACUAUUUUGGUCAAGGGAAGGAUGCUUAACAAGAUGCUUACAAUUAUAUAUAACUGAGAGCCUUGUCUAUAUAUAUUUGUAAGUUGCUGGAUGAUGUUUUAAUGAUUAAAAGCUAUUGUGCCUACCUCGCUUGCUGUGGAAUAAGUGCAGUGGAAUUUUGCUGCUGUUUCUGUUGUGAGUUUUGGCUGCUGGUGCUGUUUUGUUGAGCUGCUGUGGCUUUGCAUUUGCACUAGUGAAUUAAAUUCAGGCCUUGCUGUGCUGAUUGUGGUUGUUUACAUGUAUCUGGGAUUGGAAUUGUUUUUGGAUGAGGCCUUUUAUUAGGUGUGCAAAUUGGUUUCUUAAGAGGGAUGUAUGGUUUUUUUCU
Long non-coding RNA from Lotus japonicus, 4091 nucleotides. RefSeq lists it as uncharacterized. NCBI's taxonomy places the organism in Eukaryota, Viridiplantae, Streptophyta, Magnoliopsida, Fabales, Fabaceae. The record is from RefSeq and is a predicted model, not a curated record. The transcript has 7 exons.